This 92-nucleotide non-coding RNA is filed under the name Streptomyces lydicus. Its description in RNAcentral is "sodF sRNA". It matches the Rfam family "sodF sRNA". Rfam says of the family: Identified in Streptomyces coelicolor. Lineage: Bacteria; Bacillati; Actinomycetota; Actinomycetes; Kitasatosporales; Streptomycetaceae. The record is from Rfam by way of RNAcentral.
GCGUCCCGCCUCGUGAUCGUCUUCUCACCCUUCGCGCGGCGGGCCGGAGGAACGGAGCGCCCCCGCACGUCCGAUACGUGCGGGGGCGCUCC